AGGGUCUUGGGCUCCCUAGAGAAGGUGGUUCCCUUCGGGGACGCAGAGACAGGUGGUGCAUGGCUGUCGUCAGCUCGUGUCGUGAGAUGUUGGGUUAAGUCCCGCAACGAGCGCAACCCUUGUCUUUAGUUGCCAUCAUUAAGUUGGGCACUCUAAAGAGACUGCCGGUGACAAACCGGAGGAAGGUGGGGAUGACGUCAAGUCAUCAUGCCCCUUAUGACCUGGGCUACACACGUGCUACAAUGGGCAGUACAACGAGAAGCGAACCCGCGAGGGUAAGCGGAUCUCUUAAAGCUGUUCUCAGUUCGGACUGCAGGCUGCAACUCGCCUGCACGAAGCUGGAAUCGCUAGUAAUCGCGGAUCAGCACGCCGCGGUGAAUACGUUCCCGGGUCUUGUACACACCGA
RNAcentral lists this ribosomal RNA (406 nucleotides) under Lactobacillus delbrueckii subsp. bulgaricus. RNAcentral describes it as "bacterial SSU rRNA". It matches the Rfam family "Bacterial small subunit ribosomal RNA", at positions 983 to 1393 of the family's 1533-position model. The record is from RNAcentral. Lineage: Bacteria; Bacillati; Bacillota; Bacilli; Lactobacillales; Lactobacillaceae.